This 862-nucleotide ribosomal RNA is filed under the name uncultured Leptospirillum sp. Its description in RNAcentral is "bacterial SSU rRNA". It matches the Rfam family "Bacterial small subunit ribosomal RNA", at positions 52 to 893 of the family's 1533-position model. Lineage: Bacteria; Pseudomonadati; Nitrospirota; Nitrospiria; Nitrospirales; Nitrospiraceae. The record is from RNAcentral.
AAAAUGCAAGUCCGACGUGAAAGGGGAGCAAUCCCCCGGUAGGGUGGCAAACGGGUGAGUAAGACAUGGGUGAUCUGCCCUGGAGAUGGGGAUAUCCCUCCGAAAGGGGGGGCAAUACCGAAUAGUAUCCGGUUCCGUGAAGGGGGCCGGGGAAAGGGAGGCCUCUGGUACAAGCUUCCGCUCCUGGAUGAGCCCAUGGCCCAUCAGCUAGUUGGUAGGGUAAAGGCCUACCAAGGCGACGACGGGUAGCUGGUCUGAGAGGACAACCAGCCACACUGGCACUGAGACACGGGCCAGACUCCUACGGGAGGCAGCAGUGAGGAAUAUUGCGCAAUGGGGGCAACCCUGACGCAGCAACGCCGCGUGUGGGAAGAAGGCUUUCGGGUUGUAAACCACUUUUGCCCGGGACGAAAGGGGGGGCCUGAAUAAGGUCACCCGAUGACGGUACCGGGAGAAUAAGCCACGGCUAACUCUGUGCCAGCAGCCGCGGUAAGACAGAGGUGGCAAGCGUUGUUCGGAGUUACUGGGCGUAAAGAGUCUGUAGGUGGUCUGUCAAGUCUUUGGUGAAAGGCCGUGGCUUAACCAUGGGAAUGCCGAAGAGACUGGCAGACUGGAGGCUGGGAGAGGGAAGCGGAAUUUCUGGUGUAGCGGUGAAAUGCGUAGAUAUCAGAAGGAAGGCCGGUGGCGAAGGCGGCUUCCUGGAACAGACCUGACACUGAGAGACGAAAGCGUGGGGAGCAAACAGGAUUAGAUACCCUGGUAGUCCACGCCCUAAACGAUGGGUACUAAGUGUGGGAGGGUUAAACCUCCCGUGCCGCAGCCAACGCAGUAAGUACCCCGCCUGGGGAGUACGGCCGCAAGG